RNAcentral lists this ribosomal RNA (468 nucleotides) under uncultured bacterium. RNAcentral's name for it is "partial 16S ribosomal RNA". It matches the Rfam family "Bacterial small subunit ribosomal RNA", at positions 28 to 507 of the family's 1533-position model. The record is from RNAcentral.
GACGAACGCUGGCGGCGUGCUUAACACAUGCAAGUCGAACGGAAAGGCCCUGCUUUUGUGGGGUGCUCGGGUGGCGAACGGGUGAGUAACACGUGAGUAACCUGCCCUUGACUUUGGGAUAACUUCAGGAAACUGGGGCUAAUACCGGAUAGGAGCUCCUGCUGCAUUGUGGGGGUUGGAAAGUUUCGGCGGUUGGGGAUGGACGUGCGGCUUAUCAGCUUGUUGGUGGGGUAGUGGCUUACCAAGGCUUUGACGGGUAGCCGGCCUGAGAGGGUGACCGGCCACAUUGGGACUGAGAUACGGCCCAGACUCCUACGGGAGGCAGCAGUGGGGAAUAUUGCACAAUGGGCGGAAGCCUGAUGCAGCAACGCCGCGUGCGGGAUGACGGCCUUCGGGUUGUAAACCGCGUUCGCCUGUGACGAAGCGGGAGUGACGGUAAUGGGUAAAGAAGCACCGGCUAACUACGUG